This 275-nucleotide ribosomal RNA is filed under the name uncultured Achromobacter sp. Its description in RNAcentral is "partial 16S ribosomal RNA". It matches the Rfam family "Bacterial small subunit ribosomal RNA", at positions 338 to 605 of the family's 1533-position model. Lineage: Bacteria; Pseudomonadati; Pseudomonadota; Betaproteobacteria; Burkholderiales; Alcaligenaceae. The record is from RNAcentral.
CCUACGGGGGGCUGCAGUGGGGAAUUUUGGACAAUGGGGGAAACCCUGAUCCAGCCAUCCCGCGUGUGCGAUGAAGGCCUUCGGGUUGUAAAGCACUUUUGGCAGGAAAGAAACGUCGCGGGUUAAUACCCCGCGAAACUGACGGUACCUGCAGAAUAAGCACCGGCUAACUACGUGCCAGCAGCCGCGGUAAUACGUAGGGUGCAAGCGUUAAUCGGAAUUACUGGGCGUAAAGCGUGCGCAGGCGGUUCGGAAAGAAAGAUGUGAAAUCCCAG